RNAcentral lists this ribosomal RNA (301 nucleotides) under uncultured bacterium. Its description in RNAcentral is "partial 16S ribosomal RNA". It matches the Rfam family "Bacterial small subunit ribosomal RNA", at positions 509 to 809 of the family's 1533-position model. The record is from RNAcentral.
CAGUAGCCACGGGAAUACAGAGGGUGCGAGCGUUAAUCGGAUUUACUGGGCGUAAAGCGUGCGUAGGCGGCUUCUUAAGUCGGAUGUGAAAUCCCUGAGCUUAACUUAGGAAUUGCAUUCGAUACUGGAAAGCUAGAGUAUGGGAGAGGAUGGUAGAAUUCCAGGUGUAGCGGUGAAAUGCGUAGAGAUCUGGAGGAAUACCGAUGGCGAAGGCAGCCAUCUGGCCUAAUACUGACGCUGAGGUACGAAAGCAUGGGGAGCAAACAGGAUUAGAUACCCCUGUAGUCCCUGUCUCUUAUAA